AAAUUGAAGAGUUUGAUCAUGGCUCAGAUUGAACGCUGGCGGCAGGCCUAACACAUGCAAGUCGAACGGUAACAGGAAGCAGCUUGCUGCUUUGCUGACGAGUGGCGGACGGGUGAGUAAUGUCUGGGAAACUGCCCGAUGGAGGGGGAUAACUACUGGAAACGGUAGCUAAUACCGCAUAACGUCGCAAGACCAAAGAGGGGGACCUUAGGGCCUCUUGCCAUCGGAUGUGCCCAGAUGGGAUUAGCUAGUAGGUGGGGUAAUGGCUCACCUAGGCGACGAUCCCUAGCUGGUCUGAGAGGAUGACCAGCCACACUGGAACUGAGACACGGUCCAGACUCCUACGGGAGGCAGCAGUGGGGAAUAUUGCACAAUGGGCGCAAGCCUGAUGCAGCCAUGCCGCGUGUAUGAAGAAGGCCUUCGGGUUGUAAAGUACUUUCAGCGGGGAGGAAGGGAGUAAAGUUAAUACCUUUGCUCAUUGACGUUACCCGCAGAAGAAGCACCGGCUAACUCCGUGCCAGCAGCCGCGGUAAUACGGAGGGUGCAAGCGUUAAUCGGAAUUACUGGGCGUAAAG
RNAcentral lists this ribosomal RNA (575 nucleotides) under Escherichia coli. Its description in RNAcentral is "bacterial SSU rRNA". It matches the Rfam family "Bacterial small subunit ribosomal RNA", at positions 1 to 565 of the family's 1533-position model. The record is from RNAcentral. Lineage: Bacteria; Pseudomonadati; Pseudomonadota; Gammaproteobacteria; Enterobacterales; Enterobacteriaceae.